ACAGGGAGAGGGAGGGGGAAUUAGAGAGAAAGAGAAGGACACAGGGAGAGGGGAGGAAUUAGAGAGAAAGAGAAGGACACAAAGAGAAAGUAGGAAUUAGAGAGAAAGAGAAAGAUACAAAGAGAAAGGAGGAAUUAGAGAGAAAGAGAAGGACACAAAGAGAAAGGAGGAACCACCUAAAAGGAAGCGAUUCACAAACCUUCCAUAACAAAGCCAUCACCUACAGAGAGAUGAACCUGGAGAAGAGUCCCCUAAGCAAGCUGGUCCUGGGGCUCUGUUCACAAACACAAACACACACUACAGAGCCCCAGGACAGCAAAACAAUUAGACCCAACCAAAUCAUGAGAAAACAAAAAGAUAACUACUUAACACAUUGGAAAGAAUUAACAAAAAAACAGAGCAAACUAGAAUGCUAUUUGGCCCUACACAGAGAGUACACAGUGGCAGAAUACCUGACCACUGUGACUGACCCAAAAUUAAGGAAAGCCUUGACUAUGUACAGACUCAGUGAGCAUAGCCUUGCUAUUGAGAAAGGCCGCCGUAGGCAGACAUGGCUCUCAAGAGAAGACAGGCUAUGUGCUCACUGCCCACAAAAUGAGGUGGAAACUGAGCUGCACUUCCUAACCUCCUGCCCAAUGUAUGACCAUAUUAGAGAGACAUAUUUCCCUCAGAUUACACAGAUCCACAAAGAAUUCGAAAACAAAUCCAAUUUUGAAAAACUCCCAUAUCUACUGGGUGAAAUUCCACAGUGUGCCAUCACAGCAGCAAGAUUUGUGACCUGUUGCCACGAGAAAAGGGCAACCAGUGAAGAACAAACACCAUUGUAAAUACAACCCAUAUUUAUGCUUAUUUAUUUUAUCUUGUGUCCUUUAGCCAUUUGUACAUUGUUAGAACACUGUAUAUAUAUAUAUAAUAUGACAUUUGUAAUGUCUUUACUGUUUUGAAACUUCUGUAUGUGUAAUGUUUAAUGUUAAUUUUUGUUGUUUUUCACUUUAUAUAUUCACUUUGUAUGUUGUCUACCUCACUUGCUUUGGCAAUGUUAACACAUGUUUCCCAUGCCAAUAAAGCUCUUGAAUUGAAUUGAAUUGAAUUGAGAUAGAUAGAGAGAGAGAGAGAGAGAGAGAGAGAGAGAGAUAGAGAGAGAGAGAGGAGGAAUUACAGAGUGAAAGAGGACACAGAGAGAGGAGGAAUGAGAGAAAGAGAGAGAGAGAGGGAGAAAGAGAAAGACAGAGAAGGACAGAUAGACAGAGAGAGAGAGAGCCAGAGAAAGACAGACAGACAGAGAGAGAGAAAGAGAGAGAGAAAGACAGAGAGAGAGAGAGAGAGACAGAGAGAGAGAGAGACAGAGAGAGAGAGAGAGAGAGAGAGACAGAGAGAGACAGAGAGAGAGAGAGAGACAGAGAAAGACAGAGAGAGAGAGAGAGAGAGAGAGGUGGAAUUACAGAGCGCAAAAGCGUAAGCACAGAAAGAGAUGGAAAUUGAGUGAAAAAGAGGAACUUUAAUUAGCCAAAGUUAUUAUUGACAUCUGGGCGCUCUUCAGGUGUCAUAAAGAUGGCGGCAUAAUGUUUGCCCGUGUCUCUCCUUCUCUUGUUUUGCCAAAUAACUUUUGGAAAAGUUAGCUAACAUUGACCGUCAUCCUAUUUCUCCUCAAAUGACUAGUGUUGUUGGAUCUCACGUCUAUAUUAAUUCCACGUGUGUCUGUAUAAAUGUCCAGUGUGUGUAUUAUUAGACUGAAAGGUGGCAGGUUGUAAUCAGUUCCAGACCUUAGUGGUUCCAUGAUGAGCUGUCAUCACUCUGUUCACACUGUGGUGGUCCUGAUGGCAUGAAGACAAAACACACUU
Oncorhynchus tshawytscha (Chinook salmon) is the source of this 1841-nucleotide long non-coding RNA. NCBI's taxonomy places the organism in Eukaryota, Metazoa, Chordata, Actinopteri, Salmoniformes, Salmonidae. The record is from Ensembl.